This 2223-nucleotide ribosomal RNA is filed under the name Salmonella enterica subsp. enterica serovar Kentucky. Its description in RNAcentral is "partial 23S ribosomal RNA". It matches the Rfam family "Bacterial large subunit ribosomal RNA", at positions 593 to 2799 of the family's 2925-position model. Lineage: Bacteria; Pseudomonadati; Pseudomonadota; Gammaproteobacteria; Enterobacterales; Enterobacteriaceae. The record is from RNAcentral.
GUGACUGCGUACCUUUUGUAUAAUGGGUCAGCGACUUAUAUUCUGUAGCAAGGUUAACCGAAUAGGGGAGCCGGAGGGAAACCGAGUCUUAAUUGGGCGUUAAGUUGCAGGGUAUAGACCCGAAACCCGGUGAUCUAGCCAUGGGCAGGUUGAAGGUUGGGUAACACUAACUGGAGGACCGAACCGACUAAUGUUGAAAAAUUAGCGGAUGACCUGUGGCUGGGGGUGAAAGGCCAAUCAAACCGGGAGAUAGCUGGUUCUCCCCGAAAGCUAUUUAGGUAGCGCCUCGUGAAUUCAUCUCCGGGGGUAGAGCACUGUUUCGGCUAGGGGGCCAUCCCGGCUUACCAACCCGAUGCAAACUGCGAAUACCGGAGAAUGUUAUCACGGGAGACACACGGCGGGUGCUAACGUCCGUCGUGAAGAGGGAAACAACCCAGACCGCCAGCUAAGGUCCCAAAGUCAUGGUUAAGUGGGAAACGAUGUGGGAAGGCCCAGACAGCCAGGAUGUUGGCUUAGAAGCAGCCAUCAUUUAAAGAAAGCGUAAUAGCUCACUGGUCGAGUCGGCCUGCGCGGAAGAUGUAACGGGGCUAAACCAUGCACCGAAGCUGCGGCAGCGACGCUGAUGCGUUGUUGGGUAGGGGAGCGUUCUGUAAGCCUGUGAAGGUGUGUCGUGAGGCAUGCUGGAGGUAUCAGAAGUGCGAAUGCUGACAUAAGUAACGAUAAAGCGGGUGAAAAGCCCGCUCGCCGGAAGACCAAGGGUUCCUGUCCAACGUUAAUCGGGGCAGGGUGAGUCGACCCCUAAGGCGAGGCCGAAAGGCGUAGUCGAUGGGAAACGGGUUAAUAUUCCCGUACUUGGUGUUACUGCGAAGGGGGGACGGAGAAGGCUAUGUUGGCCGGGCGACGGUUGUCCCGGUUUAAGCGUGUAGGUGUGUGUUCCAGGUAAAUCCGGUUCACUUUAACACUGAGGCGUGACGACGAGGCACUACGGUGCUGAAGCAACAAAUGCCCUGCUUCCAGGAAAAGCCUCUAAGCAUCAGGUAACAUCAAAUCGUACCCCAAACCGACACAGGUGGUCAGGUAGAGAAUACCAAGGCGCUUGAGAGAACUCGGGUGAAGGAACUAGGCAAAAUGGUGCCGUAACUUCGGGAGAAGGCACGCUGACAUGUAGGUGAAGUGAUUUACUCACGGAGCUGAAGUCAGUCGAAGAUACCAGCUGGCUGCAACUGUUUAUUAAAAACACAGCACUGUGCAAACACGAAAGUGGACGUAUACGGUGUGACGCCUGCCCGGUGCCGGAAGGUUAAUUGAUGGGGUCAGCGCAAGCGAAGCUCCUGAUCGAAGCCCCGGUAAACGGCGGCCGUAACUAUAACGGUCCUAAGGUAGCGAAAUUCCUUGUCGGGUAAGUUCCGACCUGCACGAAUGGCGUAAUGAUGGCCAGGCUGUCUCCACCCGAGACUCAGUGAAAUUGAACUCGCUGUGAAGAUGCAGUGUACCCGCGGCAAGACGGAAAGACCCCGUGAACCUUUACUAUAGCUUGACACUGAACAUUGAGCCUUGAUGUGUAGGAUAGGUGGGAGGCUUUGAAGUGUGGACGCCAGUCUGCAUGGAGCCGACCUUGAAAUACCACCCUUUAAUGUUUGAUGUUCUAACGUGGACCCGUAAUCCGGGUUGCGGACAGUGUCUGGUGGGUAGUUUGACUGGGGCGGUCUCCUCCUAAAGAGUAACGGAGGAGCACGAAGGUUGGCUAAUCCUGGUCGGACAUCAGGAGGUUAGUGCAAUGGCAUAAGCCAGCUUGACUGCGAGCGUGACGGCGCGAGCAGGUGCGAAAGCAGGUCAUAGUGAUCCGGUGGUUCUGAAUGGAAGGGCCAUCGCUCAACGGAUAAAAGGUACUCCGGGGAUAACAGGCUGAUACCGCCCAAGAGUUCAUAUCGACGGCGGUGUUUGGCACCUCGAUGUCGGCUCAUCACAUCCUGGGGCUGAAGUAGGUCCCAAGGGUAUGGCUGUUCGCCAUUUAAAGUGGUACGCGAGCUGGGUUUAGAACGUCGUGAGACAGUUCGGUCCCUAUCUGCCGUGGGCGCUGGAGAACUGAGGGGGGCUGCUCCUAGUACGAGAGGACCGGAGUGGACGCAUCACUGGUGUUCGGGUUGUCAUGCCAAUGGCACUGCCCGGUAGCUAAAUGCGGAAGAGAUAAGUGCUGAAAGCAUCUAAGCACGAAACUUGCCC